Long non-coding RNA from Calidris pugnax (ruff), 571 nucleotides. RefSeq lists it as uncharacterized. Lineage: Eukaryota; Metazoa; Chordata; Aves; Charadriiformes; Scolopacidae. The record is from RefSeq and is a predicted model, not a curated record. The transcript is spliced from 3 exons.
CGUGUAUGUGGGUAGCUAAAGAUCUCCCUCCCUCCCCGCCUGCCUCCUCCCCUCCCCGAGACGGGCAGCUCCCUCAGAGCAGAAACGCCUGAAACUGUUUCAGACCAAGGCCCAGAAGAGGAAUGUACAACGUGCGAUCCUUAACACGCCGGUCUCCCCAGUGAGGAGAUUAUUAGUCUCCCUCCAGCGGGAGAUUAACUCUCCCAGCAAGACAGGAGUCUCCUGCCCUGGACAAAUCUGGUUUUUAACAAGCAACGAGAGCCAGCAGGAGAGAGGGCAGCACAUGGCCCCGCCACGGUGGCCUUUGCGUCUGUUCCCAAGGAUCACCUUCAGCCCGCGAGCGAUGGCACCGAACGCAGCUCGCAGGGAGGAGGGCUGGCAUCCUUGCCCUGGCGAGCAGGUUGUGAUUUUUUGGCAUCCUGCGACCCCUAGUGAGAGCCCUGGGCGGCCGGGCCGCCGCCUCCCCCGGCCGCGGUCCGGGUCCCUGUGGGGUCCGGUCGCCCCGGGGCUGCCAGCGCCGGCAGCUCCCGCAAGGCGCGGGCUGUUUCCAACGCACGGGCAAAACGUACCU